GGAUGUGAGGGUGAUCUAGCUGCGACAUCUGCCACCCCAUUGAUUGCCAGGGUUGAUUCAGCUGAUCUGGCUGGCUUGGCAAGUGUCCUCUUCCUCCUUCACUACUCCAUGUGCAUCACUCCUGAAGCUGCACACUCAGUUGAAGAGGGUGACCAACACUGCUAGAGGAGGAUCAUUCUUCACUCAAGGGUAUAUGAGUAGCUGCGCUCCCUGCUAGAACCUCUAAACAAGCUCUCAAGGUCCAUUUGUAUUCACUGAUAUAUAUGCCAUCAUAUGCUGUUAAUGCAUAAGUCU
This 294-nucleotide small nuclear RNA is filed under the name Carlito syrichta (Philippine tarsier). Its description in RNAcentral is "7SK RNA (ENSTSYG00000021551.2)". It matches the Rfam family "7SK RNA". Rfam says of the family: 7SK was discovered as an abundant small nuclear RNA in the mid-70s but a possible function has only recently been suggested. Two independent studies have found that 7SK RNA binds the CDK9/cyclin T complex (known as elongation factor P-TEFb). P-TEFb activates transcription by phosphorylating the C-terminal domain of RNA polymerase II. The record is from Rfam by way of RNAcentral. Lineage: Eukaryota; Metazoa; Chordata; Mammalia; Primates; Tarsiidae.